This 445-nucleotide ribosomal RNA is filed under the name uncultured bacterium. RNAcentral describes it as "bacterial SSU rRNA". It matches the Rfam family "Bacterial small subunit ribosomal RNA", at positions 28 to 456 of the family's 1533-position model. The record is from RNAcentral.
GAUGAACGCUGGCGGCGUGCUUAACACAUGCAAGUCGAACGGGAAAUAUUUCAUUGAGACUUCGGUGGAUUUGAUCUAUUUCUAGUGGCGGACGGGUGAGUAACGCGUGGGUAACCUGCCUUAUACAGGGGGAUAACAGUCAGAAAUGGCUGCUAAUACCGCAUAAGCGCACAGAGCUGCAUGGCUCAGUGUGAAAAACUCCGGUGGUAUAAGAUGGACCCGCGUUGGAUUAGCUGGUUGGUGGGGUAACGGCCCACCAAGGCGACGAUCCAUAGCCGGCCUGAGAGGGUGAACGGCCACAUUGGGACUGAGACACGGCCCAGACUCCUACGGGAGGCAGCAGUGGGGAAUAUUGCACAAUGGGGGAAACCCUGAUGCAGCGACGCCGCGUGAAGGAAGAAGUAUCUCGGUAUGUAAACUUCUAUCAGCAGGGAAGAUAGUGACG